Centropristis striata (black sea bass) is the source of this 303-nucleotide long non-coding RNA. RefSeq lists it as uncharacterized. NCBI's taxonomy places the organism in Eukaryota, Metazoa, Chordata, Actinopteri, Perciformes, Serranidae. The record is from RefSeq and is a predicted model, not a curated record. The transcript is spliced from 3 exons.
AGGACAGUGGCAAAAUUACAGAGAAUGGUGAAGAGUCAACAAUUUCACAGCUGUUGUGGAAAUCCCAGAUACUGUGGGAAACCAAACGCUGUCAUGUUUGGAUUAAAAACGUCAUCCGAAGGUACACAGCUUGGGGAAUUUCAUUGACUUCUCCAGGAACUGCAUCUGGAUAACUGCCAAUAUGUUGCUACUACACUGAGAACAAGACACACCUGGGGACAAGCUCAUGAAACUUUGAUUCUUUGUGGUCUAAAACCCCACAGAGUACCUUUUGAGGCCAUUCAAAAGGGCAAGUCUCCUGGU